GAUAAACGCUGACAGAAUGCUUAACACAUGCAAGUCUAUGAGGAAGUUUAGCUUGCUAAAUGGACUCAUGGCGGACGGGUGAGUAACGCGUAAAGAACUUGCCCUUUAGACUGGGAUAACAGAGGGAAACUUCUGAUAAUACUGGAUAAGUUAGUAUAUCGCAUGAUAUGCAAAUGAAAGCUACGGCACUAAAGGAGAGCUUUGCGUCCUAUUAGCUAGUUGGUAAGGUAAGAGCUUACCAAGGCGAUGAUAGGUAGCCGGCCUGAGAGGGUGGACGGCCACAAGGGGACUGAGAUACGGCCCUUACUCCUACGGGAGGCAGCAGUGGGGAAUAUUGGACAAUGGAGGGAACUCUGAUCCAGCAAUUCUGUGUGUGUGAAGAAGGUUUUAGGACUGUAAAACACUUUUAGUAGGGAAGAAAAAAAUGACGGUACCUACAGAAGAAGCAACGGCUAAAUACGUGCCAGCAGCCGCGGUAAUACGUAUGUUGCGAGCGUUAUCCGGAAUUAUUGGGCUUAAAGGGCAUCUAGGCGGUAAGACAAGUUGAAGGUGAAAACCUGUGGCUCAACCAUAGGCUUGCCUACAAAACUGUUGAACUAGAGUACUGGAAAGGUGGGUGGAACUACACGAGUAGAGGUGAAAUUCGUAGAUAUGUGUAGGAAUGCCGAUGAUGAAGAUAACUCACUGGACAGAAACUGACGCUGAAGUGCGAAAGCUAGGGGGAGCAAACAGG
This 733-nucleotide ribosomal RNA is filed under the name uncultured Sneathia sp. RNAcentral's name for it is "bacterial SSU rRNA". It matches the Rfam family "Bacterial small subunit ribosomal RNA", at positions 28 to 776 of the family's 1533-position model. The record is from RNAcentral. Lineage: Bacteria; Fusobacteriati; Fusobacteriota; Fusobacteriia; Fusobacteriales; Leptotrichiaceae.